Molecule: unclassified non-coding RNA, 329 nt
Filed under: soil metagenome
Description: partial contains 5.8S ribosomal RNA, internal transcribed spacer 2, and large subunit ribosomal RNA
Rfam family: 5.8S ribosomal RNA (bases 1-120)
Source: RNAcentral
GAUGAAGAACGUAGUGAAAUGCGAUAAGUAAUGUGAAUUGCAGAAUUCAGUGAAUCAUCGAAUCUUUGAACGCACAUUGCGCCCCCUGGUAUUCCGGGGGGCAUGCCUGUCCGAGCGUCAUUACAACCCUCAAGCUCAGCUUGGUGUUGGGCCCCGCCGCCCCGGCGGGCCCUAAAGUCAGUGGCGGUGCCGUCCGGCUCCGAGCGUAGUAAUUCUUCUCGCUCUGGAGGUCCGGUCGUGUGCUCGCCAGCAACCCCCAAUUUUUUUCAGGUUGACCUCGGAUCAGGUAGGGAUACCCUCUGAACUUAAGCAUAUCAAUAAGCGGAGGA